Molecule: ribosomal RNA, 216 nt
Filed under: Glomeromycotina sp.
Lineage: Eukaryota; Fungi; Glomeromycota
Description: partial small subunit ribosomal RNA
Rfam family: Eukaryotic small subunit ribosomal RNA (bases 87-216)
Source: RNAcentral
GGGUCAGUAGGCUGGUCGUGCCAUCGGUACGUACUGGUCUCACUGAUUCCUCCUCCCUGAAGAACCGUAAUGCCAUUAAUUUGGUGUUGCAGGGAAACAGGACUGUUACUUUGAAAAAAUUAGAGUGUUUAAAGCAAGCUAACGCUUGAAUACAUUAGCAUGGAAUAAUGAAAUAGGACGAUCGAUCCUAUUUUGUUGGUUUCUAGGAUUGACGUA